GCAAUUGGGGGUGAGUUCUGGUCGGCCAAAUGAGGGAUUAAAAAGAGGCUAGGGUUUCAAUUUCAAAAGGACCGAUUGUUUCAUUUUUUUGGGAGGAAUUGUUUGCUUUUAUAAAAGUUUUGAAACGGUACCGUGUAAGAAGGGUGGGGGGAGCCUUUUGCGCCUAAAAAUGUCUAUUUAUGCAACAAGUCCUUCCCCUUGUGCAUAGCCUUCAAUUUGCGUCCAAUUUGCCUACCUUGUGUUUUAAAAUUUGGCCUGCUAAUUUGUGCAUUAUUUCACUUUGAUCCGCGGUUCCAUGCAGCAUUGUAGGCACGAGAUAUUUACAAAUUCAGUCUUUAUACAUUUAUGCGCUUUGAGCAUUGGUCCAUAUUAUGAUUACUUUAUUUGUAAAUUAUCCUCCCUAUUUUAUUGCAGUAUUAAUUUGGUCUUACAGUUGUACAAUUGAUUAAUUUUUAAUACAUUUAAUAUGUGUAUGCCUUAAUCCAUGUUAAUAAUUUUGGUUGUUACAUUUGUACAAUUAUUUUUAGAUUGUUUUUUUUUUCACAUUAUGUAUCCUAUUUCUUUAAAUAUUUUAUAUGUAUUUGUAUGUUAAUCAUUAGUUUAAGUUUUUUAUAAUAACUAUUAUUUUGCAUGUUGUAAUAUUUUUUUAUGUAUUAUAUUGUUUUAAUACACUAUUAAUAAGUGUUGUUAAUAUAUUUAUAUACAUAAAUUAUUUAAAAUAUUUCUUAAUUUAUGUUUAAUCUGCAAGUCUUUAUGUACAUAUGAGACUGUUUUGGAAAAUCUAUCUUUGUAUUCAUAAAAUUGUUAUUUUGAAAACGUGUCUCCAUAUUAUGUUAUCCAAGUAUGUUAUUUAAUUUCUCUUUUAAAUAGUUUUAAGUAAAAUGGUAUGUAUGAUAAUAUAAUUUCACAUAUAUUUAUUUCUAAACAAAAGUUUUAAAUAAAAAAUCUAUCAUAUGAGUAAUACCUUGCCAUGAAUUAUAAUUUAUUCAUAUAUAGUAUAUUAUUUAAAUUAUUAUUAAACAUAUGUUUUGUACUUAUAUUUAAUUUGCAUCUAUUAUUAAAGCUUUGAUAUUCUUAUACAUAUAGAUUUUAAUAAACUUGUAAUUAAUUGCAUUUUUUAUUAAUUAUGUAAAUAAUUUAUGAUAAAACUAGGUUAAUUCUAUAAUUCAUAUUUUAAUUAAAUGAUAUUUGGACAUAUAAUUAUUUUUAACAUUUUUUCACAUGUAUAUGGCACAUAUUAAAUUAUUUUUACUAUGGUACAUGUUAUUAUUUUCAUAUAACUUUAUGUAAAUAUUUUUCUAUGUAUAUAUAUCCUGUUUAAAAAUUAUUUAUGCGGAUAAUGUUUUUAAGAACCCUUUUAAAUCAUAUAAUUUAUUGUAUUUCAUAUUAUCCUUAUGUUCUUUAUAUAUAUAUAUUUUGCUAUUUAUAUAACUUAUAUGUUUACUUCUUUUUUUUAUACAAUAUUAAUUUCAUUCUUUUUAUCAAUAAUUAUACCCAAUGUUUAUCUAUAUAUAAAGAUUUCAUAAAUUUACUUUAUAUAUUAUCUUAUAUCAUAUAUCAUGUGUCCACCCAUCUAUUUUGAAAAUGUCUUAUACUAUAUCGACCUCUAAACUCCAUUUUGUUUUCGUAUAUGAUAUGUUGGUUGACUUAUAUUGUGCCAUGUUUAUUAUUGGCGUAUAUCAUCAUCUAUUGUUUUAUUUCUUAUAUAAAUCAUUUGUCAACCACGUUUACGAGUUUGAUUAUAUUUUCUUGAUAAAUUAUGCUUAGUUAUAAGUUUGUUAAUUGGUAUUGCAUUUUAUGUAUGCAUAUUACCCCAAGUUUUAUUUUCCCUUUAGCCUACAAAUGUCGCAUUACAAUUUUCAACUUCCUUUUUUGAAAAAUUCUAAUUAAUUAUUCCAUCAUAUUUCAAGUCAAACUAAUAUGUUUUAAGCUAGUUUUAUAAUCAAUCAUUUAAAAAUCCUUUAAAACGAAGACGAGAUUCGAUCUUUGACAAUUCACGGAAUAGUGCCCUAACGUGUUGGGUUGCAAUUUCGCGUUUGCUCAAAAUAAUAGAAUAUCCCUUCGAAAUUUCACUCAUGCCUAUUAAAAAUUCUUUAAAACGAAGGCGAUGUGCGAUAUUUGGCAAUUCGCGGAAUCGUGCCCUAACGUGUUGGGUUGCAAUUUCUCGUUUUCUUAAAAUAAUCAAAUAACCCUUCAAAAUUUCACGCAUACCUUCUAAAAAUGAUUUAAAACAAAGGAAAUAUUCGACAUUUGACAAUUCGAGAAUCAUGCCCUAUCGUGCUGGAUUCUGAUUUCUCAUUUGCUCAAAACAAUCGAACAUUCCUUUAUAUUCUCACUCAAGUUUAUAAAAAAUACUUAAAAAUGAAGACGAUGUUCAAUGUUUGGCGAUUUGAGAAUCGUGCCCUGUCGUGCUGGGUUGCACUUUUUCAUUAGAUCAAAACAAUUGAAGAUCCCUUCGAAAUUUCACUUACAUUUUCUAAAAUCUUCUAAAAUAAAGGCGAUAUUCAAUGUUUGGCGAUUUGGGAAUCGAGCCCUAUCGUGCUGGGUUGCACUUUUUCAUUUGUCCAAAAUAAUCGAAUAUCUCCUCAGAAUUUCACACGUACUUUAUAAGGUAAGGCAAUGGUCGAUGUUUGGAAAUUCGAGGAAUCGUAUCCUACUACGCUGGGUUUCAAUUUUCCGUUAGACCAAAUAGUUGAGCAUCCUUUUGUAAUUCUCGAAUUAUAAACUUUCGAACAUCGAAACAAGAAGAUUUUGACAACCAACUCAGGUUACUCAAACAUUAUAAAAAAGAACCACAUUUCAAAAACUUUUUAAUUUUAGACAUAAGGACAGUACUUAAUCGAUUCGGUACCAAUUUUGGGCGUAGCGAGGGUGUUAAUCCUUCCUCAUGCGUAACUGACUCCCGAACCCGUUUUCUCAAAAGUUCGUAGACCAAAAUCAUUGUUUUAAUAAACCAAAAAAUGUUUUAUUAAACUAACCUCAUUUUUAGGUGAUCCGAUCACACCAAAACAAAAGAUCGGUGGUGACUCCAUAUUUCUGUUUUUCAAAAGUCAAUUUCCCCCUUUUCUUAAAUUUAAAAUUUUUUAAAUCGUGGGAUGGUUUCGAUAGCUUGGCGACUCCGCUGGGGACUUGAGAGUCGAGCCAUAAAAAUUUAUUAUUUACUGUCCUUUUGUCAAAAACCGAAAAUGUAUUUUAAAAAUCAUGUAUCUUUCGAUUGCAUUCGAUUGUAUGAUUGUUUUGGUGCGGGUCUUGUAGAAUAGUACUGCAUUUCAUUGCAUGACCACUAUGGUCACACCUUCUAAGUGAGAGUAAGAAACUACGCUUUCGUGAGGUUUUCACCUCCGCAUGGGCUAGUGGAUUGCUUCCGGGGUACAUCUGUACCUAUGAUUUCGUGAGAUUUUCAUCUCCGCAUGGUCAUAGGGAAAUGUAUCCCCCCGAACCGAACUCGAUCUAUAUAUGCCUAUAAUGGGUGAGGAUUGAGAAAUCUGCUGGUUCGGGUACCUUAUCCCUAGAACCGAGCCACAUAUAGAGAGACCUAGGAACUUACCCCGGGUAGAGCCACUUCGAAUCCCUAGUGAUCACCCGAUUAGGUACUUUGUCAUUUGUUUAUUUCUAUACUAAUGUGUUUUGUUUUUGUUUGUUCAUGACUGCAUUGCAUUACAUCAUCAUAAAAAGGAGGUGUUGAUUCGUAAUCAAUUGCUAAAUAGAACAAUUUGUCAUAAGAAAACGAAUUUCCUAAUAACGCGAGUUACAAUACGGUUGUCCGAAUUUGGUCCAAGUGAACACGACAGAAGAAGGCUAACAGUUCAUGGAGGAAAACAAGACUUUACCUAAGGAUUCAAGCCGAUAAAGAUUAUCCAAAAGCCAUCGCGUCCUGACUUUCUUAAAGAAGCUAAUCAACAUCACGAGGAUAGUAAUUCGUGGCCUGAUCAAGCAAAAAAGAUCCAGUAGAGGCAUGCAUUGGAAGCUUGCGAGAUUUGACUUUCACGGGGAUCAGUUCCCUCGCCAGGAAUACGAAAGCAAGGCUGUAUACAUAAUCCGUUUUAUGAAAAAGAAUUUGUUUUAUUGAAAAGUUGUUCUAGGGGAAUUGAAUUCAAAAUCAACAUCUUUCUUUCCUUUGCAUUCAUCCCGUGCAUUUGCAUUGCAUUGCAUCAUUUACAUUGCAUUGCAUUAUUUGCAUUACAUUGCAUCAUUUGCAUUAGAUUUCCCUAAAACGACCUUAAUUAGGUAAAAUUAUUUUAGAACCGACAAAAGAUAUGGACCAAAGAUUGGAGAGAAUGGAGCAAAAGAAAAUACAGAUGCAAGAGCAAUUGAUCAAAAUUCAACAAGAUAUGUGAGAAAUGCUAGAACUCCAAAGAAAUAUGAUGGGCCAGUUAACCCAUUUACUGGCCAGAGAAUUUGAAAAAAGGAGUGGCCCAGUGGUCAAUAAUGAGGAUGAUGUUGAAGGGAUCAUCUAUUCCCCAGGCUUUGCCCCAAUAAGCGUUCCGACCCAACCAGACAUGCAAGGGGUACCCAUUAUUAUCGGACACCAAUAUCAGACGGAUACAUCAGUACUGUUUAGCUUCUCGAGGGGUUCAGGUUUUAACCCGAAAGAUGAUCAAGCCAAGCCAGUUGUUCUGGCAAAAACGAAGGCAAGGGGAGAGUAGACUUUAAAGGCCCAGAAGGUAAAUAGUACGAGUAGGUAUAACAAGGGUCGUUCGGAGCUGAUUAUAGUAGGCCGACCAAGGUCAGUAACUACCAGCCAUCAGGCCUCCUCAAGGCAAGAACCCAAUCGAAGAUCGAGCUCAGAAAAACCCUAAUACAUGCCCAUUCCAAUCACGUACGGAGAGUUGUACCGCGUUUUGUUUGACGCACAUGUCGUAUCCCCUUUUUACAUGAAACCUAUAUUGCCCCCAUAUCCUAAAUGGUACGAUGCAAGCAGCCAAUGUGAAUACCACGCGAGAAUCACAGGGCAUUCCAUCGAGAACUGUACCGCUUUUAAAAAGAUUGUCGAAAAGCUCACCAAUUUGGGUAUCAUAAAAUUCAAUGAUCCCUCUGGAGCGGGAAAUCGGUUAUCCAACCUUUCUGUUAAAGAGGCGAACAUUAUGAGUUCCAUGCUGGAUUGGGGCAUGAGAUUUAAGGGUGCAUCGAGCUCGAAACUCUAAUGCAAGGCCUGGUAUUAGGGAACCCAAACAUCAACGACGUAUCAGAAGAGGGAACUCGGGAGUAGACUUUUUCAAGCUUCUAACCUUACGUACUUAGGGUGUUUUAAAAAAUGGGACUGUGAAAGAGAUCCUUGUAUUUUUAAGAGCUAAUCUAGAGUAAUAUUCAAAACAUACUUGUUGUUUUAAGCCUAGAAGCAACAAGAAUCCUUUUGUGAAAUAGGCUUAUAUCCAAAAUCUUUAUUUCAAUGAAAUGCAUGUUUGAGUAAAUUUUCUUUUAUUCUUUCCAUUUUAUACUGUACAAACGAUUAUUCUUAGAUUAUUUCAUUUAUGAUCAUACCAUACAAAUAAUCAUCCUUAGAAUCAUUUAUUGGAAUAUGCCUUCGUACCUAUAACAGGUCUCCAGACAUCAAUGACGUGAGCGACGCUGUCACUAAUUCCGAGUCUCUCUUUAAGAAAGAUAUGUGUCUAGAGGGAUCUCAGGACCUUGAAGGUGACAGAGAUUGUGACUUAUUUCUCGAUUUGUUAAGGACGGUAGAACAAGAUGAAAAAACUGAUCCUACUUUACGAAGGGUCAAUGGACAUUGUGAACAAGGGGCAAAGGUUGAAACCUGAGUCACCACAGGGACAAAAUGAAUUGUCUUUAAGUUACUUCAAGAAAUUAAAAGAUAUUUUCACAUAAUCAUGACGAGAUAUAUUUGAUAUUAAGAUCUGUGGAUGAUACAAAAUGUCUAUACAGUGCCAGAAGGACACGUGUCAAAGGUUUCAUGGUACCCACGCUAAUCAUGAGGUUUAGGUAUUGUUGAUCCACCAUGGAAGGGGAUUACAUUGGUUAAAGCCACAUUCAUUUCCUCACAGAUUUUCUCUAUAUGAGGCAAGGAUGUUAUCAGGCCAUUCUCAUCAAUUCAUCUUGGCAGUCAUUGAUUACUUCACGAAGGGGGUGAGGGUCGCUUCAUAUGUCAAUAAUUACAAGAUCAAUAGUCGUCAAAAUUCAAAAAAAAUGUGGGGUUGUUGACAAGUAAUGUCAGAAAGGAUCACUUUCAAAUACAACUGCACAAUCUCAAAAGUUUGCAGUUUGCUCAAAGAUCAGACACUAUAUCACAGUGCAGUAAAAGUAGCCAAAAAGAAAGAUAAAAGUUCAAAAAAAAGGGAAAAACAAACAAUAGAAUAAAUUCAUAGUGAAAAAUGACUAAGUCUUGUAAAUACUGGCAUAAAGAAGUUAUCAUUUACCCUCUAUAUUCGUCGAACGUCUGCCAGAACCUUCGUCGGGGCAACACAUUGUUCGAAACGAUUUUGAAAGCAAGAUUUCUUUUGGUCAAGUCUUAGCUGAAGUUGGAUUAGGCAGAAUAGAUCUAACCCCGAUAUGAUCAGUUGAAUUUGAAGAAAGGAGGUUGAAAGCCAUAUGACAUGGCCCAAUGUACCAGAAAUGAAUGAUGCAAGCUUACAUCGAAAAGGUUCUUCCUAGAGGAUUCCAUGAGGGGGACCUGGCACUGAAAAGUUCAUUUUUACACAAAAGGACUUCCAAGGAAAGUGAAAGGCCACGGCAAAAACCGUCAAAUGAUGCUUUGAGAUCUUCAAAAAAAAUAAGAGAAAAGAAGAAGAAAAGAAAAGAAAGAAAUAAAGAAGAAAAAGAAGAAAAGAAAAGAAAAGGAGAGGCCAAGGCGAAAACCCGCAAAGGGCGCUUGGAGACCGAGGGUAUUUUGAGUUGAAAAACUGAAAAGGGCAGCUCAAAUUUGAAUCAAAGUAGGGCAUACAGUAGUCUUGCUAUGCCUGAAUUAACAAUGAAGAAGUAUGCUACGUCUCGGGGCAUCGACAAAGUACCCCGGAUCCCCUAAACACAUAUUAAGCUCAGAAAGGUCCUCAAGAAGUUGGUACAGAGAAGCUCAAGUUGCGAUAUCUGGGGCACCUAGUUUCCAUUUUGCUCAUUUUGAAUUUGUUAUCUUUGAUUACCUUAUUCUUUUCAGGAUACGUCCCAAUAAACUUCCUUCUUAUUGCAUCGUUAUCAUUAAUUAACUUAUUCAUGUUGAGUUAAUUGCCUUUUAUUGUAUUUGCAAUUUUUGAUUAAUCUAUUUAUUUUGAGCUACCCUACUAAUCAAUUCCCUUCUUGACCAUUGUUUUGAUCCUUUUCAAGCAUUUUGCAUUGAAAUAACGAUUAAUGGACUAAUAAUACCUUCGCAAAAGGGUUCUGCAUAUUACUCUAGAAGCUUCUAAACAACAUAGGAACCUGAAACACGGCCAUCAUUUAGAAUUCACCAAGCCUAAAGGUUGAAAAUGUUUCUAAAUUGCGACUAUCUCUUUGAAUUUUCUGUCAAAGAUAUCAGUUGAAUGAAAAGGCAAGAUAUUUCGUCGGUGAUACAACCUCGACAAAUGACGAGCAAUGUCAACUAAGGGGGUUCAUUCUCGAGAAAAGAAAAAUGAUAUUCUGCAUUCAUCGAGCAUAUACAAUGGGUCAUUACACCCAAGGAAUGGUGUAAUAGAUCAAAUUGAUUAAAGAUGAAACAAAUCCUAUACUCUGAGUUGCAGUAGGUUGGAUAAGCAAAAACUCCAUAAAGUUUGAGUGGGGCAACAUUGUCAAGCAGAUGAGAUUGUUUCUUCGAGUUUUCUAUUAAGAAUGCCAGCUAAACAAGACAACAGAAUAAUACGUCAACAAUAAAACCUCAGUGAACGAUGAGUAAUAUCAAAUCAAGCAUUAAAAAUGCAAUUUUGCAUCCAUACAAACGUCAUUCAUAGGAGCAUUUGGUUCAAUCAAGUCAUGACAUCCUAAUCAUUAGGCAUGAACUCAUACACAUUAUACAGGUUGAGUCCUUCAAGGGACAAUGAGGAUUGAUGUUCCUUAAUCCCCUAAAUAAUAGGGUAACAAGCUAAAGCAUGGCAGUCUGACAUUCCUUGAAGCAGAUAACAGAUUUGGCGCCUCUAUAGCAGCGGAGAGCAGAUCGAAGAUAACAGAUUUGGCGUAUCUGUAGCGGCGGAGAGCAGAUCGAAGAUAACAAAUUUGGCAUCUCUGUAUUGUCAGAGGGCAGAUCGAAGAUAACAUAUUUGGCAUCUCUAUAGCGGCAGAGAGCAGAUCGAAGAUAACAGAUUUGGCGUCUCUAUAGCAGCGAAAAGUAGAUCGAAGAUAACAGAUUUGGCGUCUCUGUAGCGGCAGAGAAAAGAUCGAAUAUAACAGAUUUGGCGUCUCUGUAGCGGCGGAGAGCAGAUCGAACAUAACAGAUUUGGCAUCUCUGUAGUGGUAGAGAGCAGAUCGAAGAUAGCAGUUUUGGCAUCUCUGUAUCAGGCGGGGAGCAGAUCGAAGACAUAGCUGAUUUGGCUUUCACGUGUUUACGUUGAAGUAGAUCCAAGAUGAUUUUACAUCUCUGUAUCAGGCGGGGAGCAAAUCGAAGACAUAGCUGAUUUGGCUUUCACGUGUUUACGUUGAAGCAGAUCCAUGAUGAUUUGGCAUCUUUGUAUCAGGCAGGGAGCAGAUCAAAGACAUAGUUGAUUUGGCUUUCACGUGUUUACAUUGAGCAGAUUUGACAUCUCUGUAUUGUUAGAGGGCAGAUCGAAGAUAGCAGAUUUGGCAUCUUUGUGUUGACAGAGAGCAGAUCGAAUUUGGCGAAUCUAAGCUUCCUGAUAUUGCAGCGAAGCAGAUUUAAGCCAUCAUCCUAGCUCCCUAAUAUUGUAGUAGAGUAGGCUAAAAAUUACAGAUUUUAUCUCUCUGAAGCUGCAAUAGAACAGAUCAAGCUAAUCGCAGAAGAAUAUAUUAAAGCCAUAAACCUCAAGUUGCAGUGGAAUAGGUCAGAGCUACGAGUAGUUGCAGUGGAGCACAUUGAAGAUACUUGAAGGAAAGAAGCGCCAAGAAGAGUCGAAACUCAGCUGGCCCAUGAAAAAUUGGCCUUUUUAUAGUCUUUACUCUAUUCUCGUCACACGAUAAUGAGCAAAGAAGGGCAGCUGUAAUGCCCAAUUUUGGCCCGGGCCCAUGCAAACACAAAUCAAACAAAACCACAAAAAAAUGAAAAAUACAAUAAUAUAAAAAUCCAAAUGUCAAUAGUAGCCCAGUUUAUCGUCCAAUUACAAAAAUUAUGGCCCAACUACUAGAAUAGGCCAAAAAAGCCCAAAUUAUCAAUGUUCUAGAACCCUAGCAGCAAGGAACACAGUAGCCUCCAGCACUACCCUGAAUGGCGCCUCCACGUCGACACCACCAGCAGCCUCAGUACGCGCCAGCUACCCCCACCACGUUGCCUCCGUACCUGCAAAUAAAGACAAGAAAGGACGACCACAUCAGCAAUAGCAAAAAAACAAGCAGAGUAAUGAAAAAAGAAAAGGAAUUGUAUUUUUCUUUGUCGUUUUAUUUGGUUUGGCUAUAAAGCCAAGAACCUUUCCUUUUGUAAAAACUACGAACGGACACCAAGCAAUCGAGUAUAAAAAAAUAUUUUUGAAGGUGGUUCAUUUUUUCGCUGUUCUGAUUCUUAUUUUUUCUCUUUAUUUUCUCGCCUAGUUUUUAUCCUUUUUUACUAAGAUACACACACAAAAAGAGGGAAUCCCUUUUUUACGCAUACAUGUAUAGAAAUUAAGAGAAAGGAAUCAAAAAAAAAGAGUUUUUCGGUAGAAGGUGAUUAUCCUUCUUUUGUUCUUUUUGUUGGAGCAGGAUUUGCAUCGUUCUUUGGUGAUUUUCUUUCUUUCAUUUCUCAUUUUAAUAUAGAAUAAAAAGUAUUGGGAUAAAGAAACACUCACCUGAAUCAAUCGGGUUGUCAGAGUUGCAUCUUCCUCUUCGAAAUUAAGCCCAACUCAUUGCUAGUCAUCUAUUACAAUGAUAGUGUGGCGAUUGGGGGAGAGUUUUGGUCGGCCAAAUGAGAGAUUAAAAAGAGGCUAGGGUUUCAAUUUCAAAAGGACCGAUUGUUUCAUCUUUUUGGGAGGAAUUGUUUGCUUUUAUAAAAGUUUUGAAAUGGUACCAUGUAAGAAGGGUGGGGGGAGCCUUUUGCACCUAAAAUGGUCUAUUUAUGCAACAAGUCCUUCCCCUUGCGCACAGCCUUCAAUUUGC
Molecule: long non-coding RNA, 10158 nt
Filed under: Gossypium barbadense (sea-island cotton)
Lineage: Eukaryota; Viridiplantae; Streptophyta; Magnoliopsida; Malvales; Malvaceae
Description: long non-coding RNA (GBAR_LNC012333)
Source: RNAcentral